GAGUAGUUGGCGCAGUGUGUAAAAUCUCGGCUUGCAAAGUCGAAGGUCCCGGGUUCGAUUCCCGGAUUCCUUC
RNAcentral lists this transfer RNA (73 nucleotides) under Habropoda laboriosa. It matches the Rfam family "tRNA". From Rfam's summary of the family: Transfer RNA (tRNA) molecules are approximately 80 nucleotides in length. Lineage: Eukaryota; Metazoa; Arthropoda; Insecta; Hymenoptera; Apidae. The record is from Rfam by way of RNAcentral.